UGAUGGGGGGAGGACAACGUAAUACCUUGACCGGGUCGUUUCCGUCUUGGCGACGGCUCGAACAUGAUGCUUUUUCAUGUCAUAGUUACACUGACCAUCA
RNAcentral lists this small nucleolar RNA (100 nucleotides) under Aphanomyces astaci. RNAcentral describes it as "Small nucleolar RNA SNORD46". It matches the Rfam family "Small nucleolar RNA SNORD46". From Rfam's summary of the family: U40 is a C/D box small nucleolar RNA, also known as snoZ153 in plants. The human sequence has also been annotated in the sequence databases as U46. U40 is encoded in intron 2 of the ribosomal protein S8 gene in human, and is hypothesised to guide methylation of 2'-O-ribose residues on 28S ribosomal RNA. Lineage: Eukaryota; Oomycota; Saprolegniomycetes; Saprolegniales; Verrucalvaceae. The record is from Rfam by way of RNAcentral.